Molecule: ribosomal RNA, 277 nt
Filed under: uncultured Chloroflexota bacterium
Lineage: Bacteria; Bacillati; Chloroflexota
Description: uncultured Chloroflexi bacterium partial 16S ribosomal RNA
Rfam family: Bacterial small subunit ribosomal RNA
Source: RNAcentral
UUGACAUGUAGGUAGUAGUGAAGCGAAAGCGGAACGACCCUUCGGGGAGCCUACACAGGUGCUGCAUGGCUGUCGUCAGUUCGUGCCGUGAGGUGUNGGGUUAAGUCCCGUAACGAACGCAACCCUUGCCGUUAGUUAUAUGUGUCUAAGGGGACUGCCCGGGACAACUGGGAGGAAGGUGGGGAUGACGUCAAGUCAGCAUGGCCUUUAUGUCCAGGGCUACACACACGCUACAAUGGCCGGUACAAUGGGUNGCCAAGCCGUGAGGCGGAGCCAA